AGUGAACGCUGGCGGUAGGCCUAACACAUGCAAGUCGAACGGCAGCACAGUAAGAGCUUGCUCUUACGGGUGGCGAGUGGCGGACGGGUGAGGAAUACAUCGGAAUCUACUUUUUCGUGGGGGAUAACGUAGGGAAACUUACGCUAAUACCGCAUACGACCUACGGGUGAAAGCAGGGGAUCUUCGGACCUUGCGCGAUUGAAUGAGCCGAUGUCGGAUUAGCUAGUUGGCGGGGUAAAGGCCCACCAAGGCGACGAUCCGUAGCUGGUCUGAGAGGAUGAUCAGCCACACUGGAACUGAGACACGGUCCAGACUCCUACGGGAGGCAGCAGUGGGGAAUAUUGGACAAUGGGCGCAAGCCUGAUCCAGCCAUACCGCGUGAGUGAAGAAGGCCUUCGGGUUGUAAAGCCCUUCUGUUGGGAAAGAAAAGCAGCAGGUUAAUACCCCGCUGUUCUGACGGUACCCAAAGAAUAAGCACCGGCUAACUUCGUG
Molecule: ribosomal RNA, 492 nt
Filed under: uncultured bacterium
Lineage: Bacteria
Description: partial 16S ribosomal RNA
Rfam family: Bacterial small subunit ribosomal RNA
Source: RNAcentral